Long non-coding RNA from Homo sapiens (human), 438 nucleotides. The record is from Ensembl. Lineage: Eukaryota; Metazoa; Chordata; Mammalia; Primates; Hominidae.
UGAAGAAGGACAUGACACAGGAAGCCCUUGUAGAACUGGAGGAGGAAAUGAAACGCUGCCAUAUCUGGUCCUGGUGAUUGCAGGAGUAGAGGAGAGACACAGGCAAGAUCAAAAGGCUGUCAUCUCAGAAAAGAUUGCUAAUUGAUUGAUCUUCCUGUCUCCAGUUUGCCCUUACACCAAUUCAUCUACCAAAAGAUGUCUAAAUUUCUCUCUCUGAAGAAAUGCUGUGCUAAUGUUGGUCGCAGUAAAACUCCAAUGGCUCCCACCACCUACCAAGGAAAUUUCAAAGCCCUCCAUGACAUAGAUCCUUUCCAAAACUUUAUGCUGAUGCUGCAGCUCAACUGGAAAACUCAUUUCCUUCCCUUUCCCUUUCUUCUGUAUCUCCACAUGUCAAGGUCUUGGUGAUUAUUAAAGCCCAAGAAAAAGUAAAUCUUUUAA